This 253-nucleotide ribosomal RNA is filed under the name uncultured bacterium. Its description in RNAcentral is "partial 16S ribosomal RNA". It matches the Rfam family "Bacterial small subunit ribosomal RNA", at positions 524 to 776 of the family's 1533-position model. The record is from RNAcentral.
UACGGGGGGGGUAAGCGUUGUUCGGAAUUACUGGGCGUAAAGGGCUCGUAGGCGGCCAACUAAGUCAGACGUGAAAUCCCUCAGCUUAACUGGGGAACUGCGUCUGAUACUGGAUGGCUUGGAUUCGGGAGAGGAAUGCGGAAUUCCAGGUGUAGCGGUGAAAUGCGUAGAUAUCGGAAGGAACACCUGUGGCGAAAGCGGCUCUCUGGACCACAACUGACGCUGAGGCGCGAAAGCUAGGGGAGCAAACAGG